This 300-nucleotide ribosomal RNA is filed under the name uncultured Eubacterium sp. Its description in RNAcentral is "bacterial SSU rRNA". It matches the Rfam family "Bacterial small subunit ribosomal RNA", at positions 589 to 890 of the family's 1533-position model. The record is from RNAcentral. Lineage: Bacteria; Bacillati; Bacillota; Clostridia; Eubacteriales; Eubacteriaceae.
CAGCGGUGAAAGUUUGAGGCUCAACCUUAAAAUUGCCGUUGAAACUGUUUUUCUUGAGUAUAUUUGAAGURGGCGGAAUUCGUAGUGUAGCGGUGAAAUGCAUAGAUAUUACKAAGAACUCCAAUUGCGAAGGCAGCUUACUAAACUAUAACUGACGCUGAAGCACGAAAGCGUGGGUAUCAAACAGGAUUAGAUACCCUGGUAGUCCACGCCGUAAACGAUGAUUACUAGCUGUUUGUGAUAUUACAAUAAGMGGCUAAGCGAAAGCGAUAAGUAAUCCACCUGGGGAGUACGCCGGCA